Molecule: ribosomal RNA, 494 nt
Filed under: uncultured bacterium
Lineage: Bacteria
Description: partial 16S ribosomal RNA
Rfam family: Bacterial small subunit ribosomal RNA
Source: RNAcentral
GACGAACGCUGGCGGCGUGCUUAACACAUGCAAGUCGAACGGAAAGGCCUGCUUUCCCUUGUGGAUUGCGGGUACUCGAGUGGCGAACGGGUGAGUAACACGUGAGUGAUCUGCCCCCAACUUGGGUAUAAGCCUGGGAAACUGGGUCUAAUUCCCGAUAGGACUGCAGGGUGGUGCCUGUGGUGGAAAACGAUUUUCUAGUGGUUGGGGAUGAGCUCGCGGCCUAUCAGCUUGUUGGUGGGGUAAUGGCCUACCAAGGCGGCGACGGGUAGCCGGCCUGGGAGGGUGGCCGGCCACAUUGGGACUGCGAUCCGGCCCAGACUCCUACGGGAGGCAGCAGUGGGGAAUAUUGCACAAUGGGCGGAAGCCUGACGCAGCGACGCCGCGUGGGGGAUGUCGGCCUUCGGGUUGUAAACUCCUUUCGACCGCGAGGAAGCCACCUGGUUGGAAGGGUGGUGACGGUAGUGGUAGAAGAAGCACCGGCUAACUACGUG